This 433-nucleotide long non-coding RNA is filed under the name Homo sapiens (human). Its description in RNAcentral is "HSALNT0303132". Lineage: Eukaryota; Metazoa; Chordata; Mammalia; Primates; Hominidae. The record is from RNAcentral.
GACAGAGUCUGAUGACAAUUCAGUCAGUUUUCAUCAAGGCCUAAAGAUGAGGAAACGGAGGUACAAAGAGAUUAAGAAAUUAACCAAUAUAAAUCAUAGAAAUCGCAAGUGGAAGAAUCAGGAUGUGAACUGUGGACCUUCAGCUCCAGUGCCUCCAUGGCUCUCGGCCAUUAUGCCAUUCAUCUCGGGAGGUGGAAACAGCAUCUGAAUCUGAAGUUUGUUUGCUGUGAGGUGUAAUAGACUCCUCUGCCUUUCUCUCUCUCCCUCUUUCCUUCCUUCCCCAUCAAUUACUUAUCUCUCUGUAACUGAAGCUCCUCGCCACUGAGACAGCUCCGCGGUGCUUCCUGUCCCUGCUUCCUUCACAUCCUCACUUUGACGUUUACAUAUCCACUGCCUCUCAGUUUUUACUGCUGCCUUUCUUGCCAAAUACAAA